CAUGCGGAGUGGGCAUGGCGCAUCACAAGGGCCACCCAGAACUGGCUCAACUCCCAUCAAGGAGAUCACCCAACGACAAGGCGAUGACGCAUUCGUAUGUCAUCCAUAUCAACUUUCAAUGCCAUUUACUGCGCCUACCAUGGUGAACACGGGUAACGAGGAAUCAGGUUUCAAUUCCGGAGAGGGAGCCUGAGAAACAGCUACCACAUGCAAGCAAAGCAG
Pelobates cultripes (western spadefoot toad) is the source of this 222-nucleotide non-coding RNA. Lineage: Eukaryota; Metazoa; Chordata; Amphibia; Anura; Pelobatidae. The record is from the annotation of a GenBank genome assembly.